RNAcentral lists this transfer RNA (813 nucleotides) under uncultured Prochlorococcus sp. RNAcentral describes it as "partial 16S-23S ribosomal RNA intergenic spacer; may also contain 16S ribosomal RNA and 23S ribosomal RNA". The stretch from base 251 to 323 matches the Rfam family "tRNA". Lineage: Bacteria; Bacillati; Cyanobacteriota; Cyanophyceae; Synechococcales; Prochlorococcaceae. The record is from RNAcentral.
AGACAAAACUGAUUUGAUGUCUGAAUUAUUUUUUCAGGCCAUAAUCCUGUCACCUUAGGUCGAUCGGUACCUCAAUUUAGUUUUAUAGAAACUAAGAAAUUACUUUCUAUCUAUAUUAGAUUCAGUUCCUAAACUUUGUCUAGGUCACACCCAACAAGGGUACUCCUGGGCCAUUAGCUCAGGUGGUUAGAGCGCACCCCUGAUAAGGGUGAGGUCCCUGGUUCAAGUCCAGGAUGGCCCAUUCGGUGUUGGGGGUAUAGCUCAGUUGGUAGAGCGCCUGCUUUGCAAGCAGGAUGUCAGCGGUUCGAGUCCGCUUACCUCCACUGAUCACCCACCUAAUAACGAAGCCUACGGAGUUUUUGUUGAUGUGAUCUAGAAUUUGCUCUAGAUCAAUGAACCUAGCUUCUUAUCGUUCCAACUAAAAAUGAUUUUUAGUUCUUGAUUGAUAGGACGCUGGGCUCGCUGCAAUUUUCAUUGCAGAGAUCUCCAGUAGAACCUUGACAACUGCAUAGGUAAGUCUGGAAAGAAUAAAGCAUCUCAUGGAUGCACUAUUCUUUUGAACCAACUUUAGACAUUUGAUUUAAUCAGAUAUCUAAUUUGGUUUGAAAUUAUAAUGUUUAAUUCUUGAGCAAGAGCCGAGACUCUGCAAAGUUCUUUUGAUGUAUUCUUUACAUUGAGAGUUAGAUUUUUAAUUCUGUUGUUGACUUAAUAACUUUUGGAAUAUUUCCAAAUCGUUUUUAUUAAAUGUUCAGAAUUGAGAAGAAUAGUGCUAACAACACUAAGACAUUGUAGAGAUAAAUGGUCAAGCUACAA